GGAGAGAUGGCCGAGCGAUCAAAGGCAGCAGACUGUAAAUCUGCCGACACAAGUCUACGUAGGUUUAAAUCCUACUCUCUCCA
Transfer RNA from Holospora undulata, 83 nucleotides. It matches the Rfam family "tRNA". Rfam says of the family: Transfer RNA (tRNA) molecules are approximately 80 nucleotides in length. NCBI's taxonomy places the organism in Bacteria, Pseudomonadati, Pseudomonadota, Alphaproteobacteria, Holosporales, Holosporaceae. The record is from Rfam.